CCGCACGGGUGAGUAACACGUAUCCAACCUGCCGUCUACUCUUGGACAGCCUUCUGAAAGGAAGAUUAAUACAAGAUGGCAUCAUGAGUCCGCAUGUUCACAUGAUUAAAGGUAUUCCGGUAGACGAUGGGGAUGCGUUCCAUUAGAUAGUAGGCGGGGUAACGGCCCACCUAGUCUUCGAUGGGUAGGGGUUCUGAGAGGAAGGUCCCCCACAUUGGAACUGAGACACGGUCCAA
Molecule: ribosomal RNA, 236 nt
Filed under: uncultured bacterium
Lineage: Bacteria
Description: partial 16S ribosomal RNA
Rfam family: Bacterial small subunit ribosomal RNA
Source: RNAcentral